This 415-nucleotide ribosomal RNA is filed under the name uncultured bacterium. Its description in RNAcentral is "bacterial SSU rRNA". It matches the Rfam family "Bacterial small subunit ribosomal RNA", at positions 355 to 767 of the family's 1533-position model. The record is from RNAcentral.
UAAGGAAUAUUGGACAAUGGACGCAAGUCUGAUCCAGCCAUGCCGCGUGAAGGAUGAAUGCCCUCUGGGUUGUAAACUUCUUUUAUAGGGGAAGAAAGAUACUUUUUUUAAGGUAGUUGACGGUACCCUAUGAAUAAGCACCGGCUAACUCCGUGCCAGCAGCCGCGGUAAUACGGAGGGUGCAAGCGUUAUCCGGAUUUACUGGGUUUAAAGGGUGCGUAGGCGGGCAUGUAAGUCAGUGGUGAAAUACCGGAGCUUAACUUCGGAACUGCCAUUGAUACUAUAUGUCUUGAAUAUUGUGGAGGUAAGCGGAAUAUGUCAUGUAGCGGUGAAAUGCAUAGAUAUGACAUAGAACACAGAUUGCGGAGGCAGCUUGCUACGCAAAUAUUGACGCUGAGGCACGAAAGCGUGGGGA